UUUCUGGAACUUUCGGGGGCCUCCGCCGGCCGCACAGCCCCGCCCUCCUUCCGGACCCUCAAAGCCCCGUCCCCAGGCUCCAGGCCUCCAGCCCAUCUGCCAGUGUUCAAAGGUGGGCAGGGUCCCCCUUGGGGCUCCCAGCUGUGUGUGGCCAGGGACAGCUGGCUUCACCCGAGCAUCUCCUACACAGUGUGGCUUGGCUCUUGUCGAAGUCAUAUAAAAUAGG
Long non-coding RNA from Homo sapiens (human), 226 nucleotides. The record is from Ensembl. NCBI's taxonomy places the organism in Eukaryota, Metazoa, Chordata, Mammalia, Primates, Hominidae.